Molecule: ribosomal RNA, 1312 nt
Filed under: Staphylococcus aureus
Lineage: Bacteria; Bacillati; Bacillota; Bacilli; Caryophanales; Staphylococcaceae
Description: partial 23S ribosomal RNA
Rfam family: Bacterial large subunit ribosomal RNA
Source: RNAcentral
GUUAUCGAUAUGUGAAUACAUAGCAUAUCAGAAGGCACACCCGGAGAACUGAAACAUCUUAGUACCCGGAGGAAGAGAAAGAAAAUUCGAUUCCCUUAGUAGCGGCGAGCGAAACAGGAAGAGCCCAAACCAACAAGCUUGCUUGUUGGGGUUGUAGGACACUCUAUACGGAGUUACAAAGGACGACAUUAGACGAAUCAUCUGGAAAGAUGAAUCAAAGAAGGUAAUAAUCCUGUAGUCGAAAAUGUUGUCUCUCUUGAGUGGAUCCUGAGUACGACGGAGCACGUGAAAUUCUGUCGGAAUCUGGGAGGACCAUCUCCUAAGGCUAAAUACUCUCUAGUGACCGAUAGUGAACCAGUACCGUGAGGGAAAGGUGAAAAGCACCCCGGAAGGGGAGUGAAAUAGAACCUGAAACCGUGUGCUUACAAGUAGUCAGAGCCCGUUAAUGGGUGAUGGCGUGCCUUUUGUAGAAUGAACCGGCGAGUUACGAUUUGAUGCAAGGUUAAGCAGUAAAUGUGGAGCCGUAGCGAAAGCGAGUCUGAAUAGGGCGUUUAGUAUUUGGUCGUAGACCCGAAACCAGGUGAUCUACCCUUGGUCAGGUUGAAGUUCAGGUAACACUGAAUGGAGGACCGAACCGACUUACGUUGAAAAGUGAGCGGAUGAACUGAGGGUAGCGGAGAAAUUCCAAUCGAACCUGGAGAUAGCUGGUUCUCUCCGAAAUAGCUUUAGGGCUAGCCUCAAGUGAUGAUUAUUGGAGGUAGAGCACUGUUUGGACGAGGGGCCCCUCUCGGGUUACCGAAUUCAGACAAACUCCGAAUGCCAAUUAAUUUAACUUGGGAGUCAGAACAUGGGUGAUAAGGUCCGUGUUCGAAAGGGAAACAGCCCAGACCACCAGCUAAGGUCCCAAAAUAUAUGUUAAGUGGAAAAGGAUGUGGCGUUGCCCAGACAACUAGGAUGUUGGCUUAGAAGCAGCCAUCAUUUAAAGAGUGCGUAAUAGCUCACUAGUCGAGUGACACUGCGCCGAAAAUGUACCGGGGCUAAACAUAUUACCGAAGCUGUGGAUUGUCCUUUGGACAAUGGUAGGAGAGCGUUCUAAGGGCGUUGAAGCAUGAUCGUAAGGACAUGUGGAGCGCUUAGAAGUGAGAAUGCCGGUGUGAGUAGCGAAAGACGGGUGAGAAUCCCGUCCACCGAUUGACUAAGGUUUCCAGAGGAAGGCUCGUCCGCUCUGGGUUAGUCGGGUCCUAAGCUGAGGCCGACAGGCGUAGGCGAUGGAUAACAGGUUGAUAUUCCUGUACCACCUAUAAUCGUUUUA